AAGUCGAACGAUAUUGAAGGGCUUGCUCUUCAAGAAAGUGGCGCACGGGUGCGUAACGCGUAUGCAACCUACCUUAAUCAGGGGGAUAGCCCGAAGAAAUUCGGAUUAACACCGCAUAAAAUCACAGUACAGCAUUGUACAAUGAUCAAAUAUUUAUAGGAUUAAGAUGGGCAUGCGUGUCAUUAGUUAGUUGGCGGGGUAACGGCCCACCAAGACCACGAUGACUAGGGGAUCUGAGAGGAUGACCCCCCACACUGGUACUGAGACACGGACCAGACUCCUACGGGAGGCAGCAGUAAGGAAUAUUGGUCAAUGGAGGCAACUCUGAACCAGCCAUGCCGCGUGCAGGAAGACAGCCCUCUGGGUCGUAAACUGCUUUUAUUCGGGAAUAAACCUACUUACGUGUAAGUAGCUGAAUGUACCGAAGGAAUAAGGAUCGGCUAACUCCGUGCCAGCAGCCGCGGUAAUACGGAGGAUCCAAGCGUUAUCCGGAUUUAUUGGGUUUAAAGGGUGCGUAGGCGGCUUAUUAAGUCAGGGGUGAAAGACGGUGGCUCAACCAUCGCAGUGCCCUUGAUACUGAUGAGCUUGAAUACACUAGAGGUAGGCGGAAUGUGACAAGUAGCGGUGAAAUGCAUAGAUAUGUCACAGAACACCGAUUGCGAAGGCAGCUUACUAUGGUGUUAUUGACGCUGAGGCACGAAAGCGUGGGGAUCAAACAGGAUUAGAUACCCUGGUAGUCCACGCCCUAAACGAUGAAUACUCGCUGUUAGCGAUACACAGUUAGCGGCUAAGCGAAAGCGUUAAGUAUUCCACCUGGGGAGUACGCCCGCAAGGGUGAAACUCAAAGGAAUUGACGGGGGCCCGCACAAGCGGAGGAGCAUGUGGUUUAAUUCGAUGAUACGCGAGGAACCUUACCCGGGCUUGAAAGUUAGUGAAUGAUCUAGAGAUAGAUCAGUGAGCAAUCACACGAAACUAGGUGCUGCAUGGCUGUCGUCAGCUCGUGCCGUGAGGUGUUGGGUUAAGUCCCGCAACGAGCGCAACCCCUAUGUUUAGUUGCCAGCACGUUAAGGUGGGGACUCUAAACAGACUGCCUGUGCAAACAGAGAGGAAGGAGGGGACGACGUCAAGUCAUCAUGGCCCUUACGUCCGGGGCUACACACGUGCUACAAUGGAUGGUACAGAGGGCAGCAAGCUGGCAACAGCAAGCAAAUCUCAAAAAGCCAUUCACAGUUCGGAUAGAGGUCUGCAACUCGACCUCUUGAAGUUGGAUUCGCUAGUAAUCGCGUA
RNAcentral lists this ribosomal RNA (1287 nucleotides) under Pedobacter sp. 317. RNAcentral describes it as "bacterial SSU rRNA". It matches the Rfam family "Bacterial small subunit ribosomal RNA", at positions 59 to 1348 of the family's 1533-position model. The record is from RNAcentral. Lineage: Bacteria; Pseudomonadati; Bacteroidota; Sphingobacteriia; Sphingobacteriales; Sphingobacteriaceae.